UCCUGCCCGGCGCGAGAAGGGCGCCCGGACGGCCCGGCCCACCCGCGACUCGAAGCGAGGAAAGGGCGGGGAGGGUUCUAGACGCGGUCGGGAGUGAGGAUCUGCUUUGGAUGUGGCUGGAGGGGUGUCGAAGCUUUAGGAUGAUAUGCUUGAGAAUUUCUGUUUCUGGGGCCCGGAGCGAUAGUACAGCAGGGGUCUCCUGUAGUCUGCUUGCUGUCUUGUCUUGCCUUAUUCAUUUUGGAGCGGGUCUUCCCGGUCACUCCCUGCGAUUCUCGGGCCCAACCAGCCGACCAGGCCGUGCAGAAGGAGCCCGAGGAUGUGGAGUGCCGCAAACCACCCAGUGGAGACCACCGACCACGGGGAACCAGGGUCGAAGGAAUCAGGAGAAGUCAGGAAUCGGCGGGGAAAUGACAGACAGCCACACUAUAAGCUGGUGAACUGCUGCAACUUUAUUCUGCAAAGCUGUGCUUAUAUAUUGUUUCUCCAAGGAAAUAGCAAUAAGCAGGGGGUUACAACAUCAGGUUACACCAUUAGACCACUGCUUUGAUGAUUACAAUACAUCAUUAGAACACUACUUUGAUGAUUAUAAUUCAGCAGAAAAAUUAUUAACGAAGUACAAUACAGUAUGAGCUAAUUCCGCAUAUCGCUGCUGUGACCUCUUGUGGUUUUCCUGUAAGGCUAGGGUAAAGCUAAGGUUCUUUGAAAUGUCUGUUUCGCGCCAAUGAUCACAUCCGUGUCAGUUUAGCAUUAAGUGUUUAAAGCCCUUUCUCCCGUCAGAAAUUUGUUAUAAUAUAUUGCAAAAGGUUUAAAUAAUAAACAUCAGGGUUUUCUUCAUCUAGCUAAUCUAGCCAUAAAUGGGAGCUCUGAAAACAACCGUCGUUUCCCUUCAUAGUUUACCCAUCUAUUCCCAAUGUUGUCGUUAGUUCCUGUAAAAAAAAGGGGGUGGAUCUAGGUAAUCUUUUACUGCAGGGGGGAGCAACGUGGCGGCAAAGCCCGCCAUCGCUCUCCCACAAAAUAUUGUGUCCCUGCGGGGAAUCUUAGCCAACUCUUCUUUUUGGAAAUGUUUUUGUCUCACUAUGCUGUGAUUUCUGCAACACCUUUGUUUUUACUUUCAUUUCGUCUGUUGCCUUGAUUUCCAAGAACAACUCUUUUUAUCCUCAACCUUGUUUAGAAAAAACCCAAUGAGGCGUCUCCAGCAUUCUACUAUGCUUCUGAGACAGGUGCUUGAACAAAAGGAAAAGGGGGGCUUUAGAUAUUAAGUCAUCUAAUUCUGGCCGGCCUGUGGUGUUGGCAACAUCCUGACCAGGAAACGCUCAUACUGUUCCAAUACGAAUGCACAGAUAAGAAAUGCACAGAAGAAAGGCACAGAUAGUUAAGCUAAGGCAAAACCAAGGUUGUCUUGUGCUCCAGCAGUUUCUGGUGUCAUCAGGUCACGUGAUGACCACAGAUUGUAGGGGAACUGCCUGAGGCCCCGCUCCGGGGAGCUCCCACCUCAACCUCUCAUCUGCAGACCUCCAGCGUAGCAGCAUUUUGCUACAGCUACACAGGUGUCACAGCUGUGGGCGUAGCAGUGGAGCUUCUUGAGCCUUGUUGUGCCAGGGACCCCUGGAGUCACCCAGGAAGUGCCGUACCUGGUGAUGCUCCAAGAGCCACUAGUACCAGGGAUUGAGCUGGGUGGGUCCUGUGUGAGGGAAGGUGUGUGUCCUAAACCCAUGCUAUCUCCCGGUCCUGCCUGAUCUCUCCCUCUGUGAUCACUUCAGCCUGUUGCAGCAUUCAGCCGCCAGCAGCAGCACUGGGAAACAGUAGCUUCUGCAAGUGCAGGCCAUGGUGGCAACAAAGCAUCCAGCACCCAGAGAAUCAGUUCUUUCAUCAACCAAAUGGGUUUAUGGAGGAUUGGAGAGAUCCUAGGGUUUAAGGCUCGUCCUGCACGUGGCCCAGGUUUGAUCCCCAGCACCACCAGGAAUGACCUUGAGUAGGGAGCUAGGAAUAGGCCCUGAGCACUGCCAGGCAGGCCCCAUUCCCGGCCCCCUCAAAAAAAAAAGUGGGGGGCUGGAGCGAUAGCACAGCGGGGAGGGCGUUUGCCUUGCACGUGGCCGACCUGAGUUCGAUUCCCAGCAUCCCAUAUGGUCCCCCAAGCACCGCCAGGAGUAAUUCCUGAGUGCAUGAGCCAGGAGUAACCCCUGUGCAUCGCCGGGUGUGAUGCAAAAAAAAAAAAAAAGGGUGAUCUACACAGACAAGGCAAUUUACAAAGCGCAGUCUCUUGGGAGCUGCAGUCUCCUGGGAGAUUUCUGGGUCAGGCAGCUACACCUCUUGCCAGGGGUGGGCAGGUCUGUUGGCCUUUGUCAUGUACUCACCACUCAUGCCCUCUUUUAGCUUCCAGCUCUUUGAAAUAAGGUUUCUGUUUAUUUUCAUAAAACAACAGUAAUUGCAAAAGCUGGGUUGCAACUUUGAGCUUGUGCUCUUGCCUAAGGCAGCCACGUUUGGCCCGGAACUCAGCAAGGCGCACUUCCCUUGGGGUGCCCAGAGCCUCCGUACAUAGUUGGCACCGAUAAUACCCAGAAAAACACUUGGGACCCAAUGUCCCAGAGCCCCAGAAGUGUGUACCGAGGGAGCUUUAGGGAUUCCCCUGGCCAGUUGCAUGUCCUGUGAAAUGAGGAGUCCUUGUCAGAGUCCACUUGCAGUUUCUGCGCAACUCCAAGGUCCGGGUCCUUGGCCCUGGGCCCAGCUCUCCUGGGCUCCUGGAAGCAGGGGCGGGCUUGGUGGCAGAUGGAGAUUCCCUCCUGCUCAUUCCCUUGGGGGUCGGAGGAGGGGUCCUCUCUGUCCUCUCUCUGAACAGGGCCAAACAAUAGAUCGGGGCCGAAGAGAUCAUACAGUGGGUAGAACUCUUGCCUUGCACGUGGCCAGCUCAGGUUCACUCCCGGAGUGAGCAUCCCUGAGGGUCCCCUGAGCACUACCAGGAGUGAUCCCUGAGCACAGAGCCGGGAGAAAGCCCUGAGCACUGCUGGGUGUGGCCCCCAAACUGGAAACCAAAACCAAAUAGAUAAUAUCACACACACACACACACACACACACACACACACACACACACCCCUUCACUCUCGCUCUCCGAUGCACCCAUUGGAUGAAUGCCUCUCCUCCCCCAAGGUGACGCUGAUACUAAGAACCCAGCACUACGUGAAUAUUUGGGACUCUGUCUAACUGUCUUUUACUAAGAAAGACUCCUAAUCUGUUCUUCCGGCUCCACCGUCCUGCCAGACCAUUUCCUAUCCCUGUGACCCCCGACAACACACUCAGAACACAAUCUCUCACACACACACACAAACACACACCAUGGGUCUUGAUUAAGUAGAUUUUUUUUGGCUUUUUGGGUCACACCUGGCGAUCCACAGGGGUCACUCCUCGCUCUGCACUCAGGAAUUACUCCUGGCUCUGCUCAGGGGACCCUAUGGGAUGCCAGGAAUCAAACCCAGGUCGUCUGCGUGCAAGGAAAACAUCCUCCCUGCUAUACUGUUGCUCCGGCCCUUGAUAAAGUGGGUUGUGGGUAAACUCUCCCACCCCUCCCAGCCUAGAUUUCAAGUCUCGCAUAUCUAGUUGUCCAGAAGAAAAGCUUAAAAACAGGGGUUUCGGGGAGCCCAGUGGAUGGUACAUGUGGGCAGAGCAUUUGCCUCGUGGCCGACCCAGGUUUGAUCUCCAGGAUUGUAGGGAGCCAUUUUACAAGCCCGGCUCUUAUCCUCUAGUCAAGUGGAGGCUUACUUGGGAUUCCUGUAACAAGGUCACCACUGCUGACCUUACUGAUCUUAUCAGUUCGCCAUUCCUCUCUCACUAACUAACGCCCAUGCCUGAUCUGCCCAACGCCCAUGCCUGAUCUGCAUUUUACUAUUGUUCCUAUGGGGGUCCAAGCAUGCAAACCGCCCCCUCCCACCAAGAGGUAUAAGUAUUGUAACUGCUGUGA
This is a long non-coding RNA of Sorex araneus (European shrew), 3952 nucleotides long. RefSeq lists it as uncharacterized. The record is from RefSeq and is a predicted model, not a curated record. NCBI's taxonomy places the organism in Eukaryota, Metazoa, Chordata, Mammalia, Eulipotyphla, Soricidae. The transcript has 3 exons.